This 141-nucleotide transfer RNA is filed under the name Armillaria solidipes. It matches the Rfam family "tRNA". Rfam says of the family: Transfer RNA (tRNA) molecules are approximately 80 nucleotides in length. Their secondary structure includes four short double-helical elements and three loops (D, anti-codon, and T loops). The record is from Rfam by way of RNAcentral. Lineage: Eukaryota; Fungi; Basidiomycota; Agaricomycetes; Agaricales; Physalacriaceae.
GGCAAGAUGGCCGAGCGGUUAAGGCGUGUGACUCAAGUUGUCCUAAAUUGUGUAAUCAAUUACAUAAUUACGGAGUGACUUACCUGAAUUCGGGUUUCUCAUCACGGUAUCGUGGCGUGGGUUCAAGUCCCACUCUUGUCA